GAGUAAUGCGUGACCAACCUGCCCCAUGCUCCAGAAUAGCUCUUGGAAACGGGUGGUAAUGCUGGAUGCUCCAACUUGACGCAUGUCUUGUUGGGAAAGUGUUUAGUGGCAUGGGAUGGGGUCGCGUCCUAUCAGCUUGUAGGCGGGGUAAUGGCCCACCUAGGCUUCGACGGGUAGCCGGCCUGAGAGGGCGGACGGCCACAUUGGGACUGAGAUACGGCCAGACUCCUACGGGAGGCAGCAGUG
This 246-nucleotide ribosomal RNA is filed under the name uncultured Gardnerella sp. RNAcentral's name for it is "partial 16S ribosomal RNA". It matches the Rfam family "Bacterial small subunit ribosomal RNA", at positions 108 to 356 of the family's 1533-position model. Lineage: Bacteria; Bacillati; Actinomycetota; Actinomycetes; Bifidobacteriales; Bifidobacteriaceae. The record is from RNAcentral.